AUUGAACGCUAGCGGCAUGCCUUACACAUGCAAGUCGAACGGCAGCACGGGGGCAACCCUGGUGGCGAGUGGCGAACGGGUGAGUAAUGCAUCGGAACGUGCCCAUCGAUGGGGGAUAACUGCGCGAAAGCGUUGCUAAUACCGCAUACGACCUACGGGUGAAAGCAGGGGACCGCAAGGCCUUGCGUCGAUGGAGCGGCCGAUGCCGGAUUAGCUAGUUGGUGAGGUAAAGGCUCACCAAGGCGACGAUCCGUAGCUGGUCUGAGAGGACGACCAGCCACACUGGGACUGAGACACGGCCCAGACUCCUACGGGAGGCAGCAGUGGGGAAUCUUGGACAAUGGGGGAAACCCUGAUCCAGCCAUGCCGCGUGAGUGAUGAAGGCCCUAGGGUUGUAAAACUCUUUCGGCGGGGACGAUAAUGACGGUACCCGCAGAAGAAGCUCCGGCUAACUUCGUG
This 459-nucleotide ribosomal RNA is filed under the name uncultured bacterium. RNAcentral describes it as "bacterial SSU rRNA". It matches the Rfam family "Bacterial small subunit ribosomal RNA", at positions 29 to 507 of the family's 1533-position model. The record is from RNAcentral.